This 253-nucleotide ribosomal RNA is filed under the name uncultured bacterium. RNAcentral describes it as "partial 16S ribosomal RNA". It matches the Rfam family "Bacterial small subunit ribosomal RNA", at positions 524 to 776 of the family's 1533-position model. The record is from RNAcentral.
UACGUAGGGUCCGAGCGUUGUCCGGAAUUAUUGGGCGUAAAGGGCUCGUAGGCGGUUUGUCACGUCGGGAGUGAAAACUCAGGGCUCAACCCUGAGCGUGCUUUCGAUACGGGCAGACUAGAGGUAUGCAGGGGAGAACGGAAUUCCUGGUGUAGCGGUGGAAUGCGCAGAUAUCAGGAGGAACACCGGUGGCGAAGGCGGUUCUCUGGGCAUUACCUGACGCUGAGGAGCGAAAGCAUGGGGAGCGAACAGA